This 429-nucleotide ribosomal RNA is filed under the name uncultured bacterium. RNAcentral describes it as "bacterial SSU rRNA". It matches the Rfam family "Bacterial small subunit ribosomal RNA", at positions 355 to 776 of the family's 1533-position model. The record is from RNAcentral.
UGGGGAAUAUUGGACAAUGGGCGCAAGCCUGAUCCAGCAAUGCCGCGUGGGUGAAGACGGCCUGCGGGUUGUAAAGCCCUUUAGGCGGGGAGGAACGACGGGACGCUAAUAUCGUUUCGAAGUGACGUUACCCGCGGAAUAAGCACCGGCUAACUCCGUGCCAGCAGCCGCGGUAAUACGGAGGGUGCGAGCGUUAAUCGGAAUUACUGGGCGUAAAGCGUGCGUAGGCGGAUGGGUCAGUCAGCCGUGAAAGCCCCGGGCUUAACCUGGGAACGGCGGUUGAGACGGCUCGUCUGGAGUGGGCUAGAGGAUCGUGGAAUUCCGGGUGUAGCGGUGAAAUGCGUAGAGAUCCGGAGGAACACCGAUGGCGAAGGCAGCGGUCUGGGGCCACACUGACGCUGAGGCACGACGGCGUGGGGAGCAAACAGG